CGUGUAGGCGGCCAUGCAAGUCGGGUGUGAAAGCCCUCGGCUUAACCGAGGAAGUGCGCCCGAAACUACAUGGCUUGAGUACCGGAGAGGGUGGCGGAAUUCCCGGUGUAGAGGUGAAAUUCGUAGAUAUCGGGAGGAACACCAGCGGCGAAGGCGGCCACCUGGACGGAUACUGACGCUGAGACGCGAAAGCGUGGGGAGCAAACAGGAUUAGAUACCCUGGUAGUCCACGCCGUAAACGAUGAGCGCUAGGUGUUGUGGGUGUUGACCCCCGCAGUGCCGCAGCUAACGCAUUAAGCGCUCCGCCUGGGAAGUACGGCCGCAAGGCUAAA
Molecule: ribosomal RNA, 332 nt
Filed under: uncultured bacterium
Lineage: Bacteria
Description: bacterial SSU rRNA
Rfam family: Bacterial small subunit ribosomal RNA
Source: RNAcentral